Molecule: ribosomal RNA, 253 nt
Filed under: uncultured bacterium
Lineage: Bacteria
Description: partial 16S ribosomal RNA
Rfam family: Bacterial small subunit ribosomal RNA
Source: RNAcentral
UACGGGGGGGGCAAGCGUUGUUCGGAAUUACUGGGCGUAAAGGGCGCGUAGGCGGCCUUCUAAGUCGGACGUGAAAUCCCUCGGCUCAACCGGGGAACUGCGUCCGAUACUGGAGGGCUUGAAUCCGGGAGAGGGAUGUGGAAUUCCAGGUGUAGCGGUGAAAUGCGUAGAUAUCUGGAGGAACACCGGUGGCGAAGGCGGCAUCCUGGACCGGCAUUGACGCUGAGGCGCGAAAGCCAGGGGAGCGAACGGG